AGAGUUUGAUCCUGGCUCAGAGCGAACGCUGGCGGAAUGCUUAACACAUGCAAGUCGCACGCCCCGGCAACGGGGAGUGGCGGACGGGUGAGGAACGCGUAGGAACAUGUCCAGAGGUGGGGGACAACCCUGGGAAACCGGGGCUAAUACCGCAUACGGCCCGAGGGCCAAAGCCGCGAGGCGCCUUUGGAGUGGCCUGCGUCCGAUUAGCUUGUUGGCGGGGUAACGGCCCACCAAGGCGACGAUCGGUAGCUGGUCUGAGAGGACGAUCAGCCACACUGGGACUGAGACACGGCCCAGACUCCUACGGGAGGCAGCAGUGGGGAAUAUUGGGCAAUGGGCGCAAGCCUGACCCAGCAAUUCCGCGUGGGUGAAGAAGGUCUUCGGAUUGUAAAGCCCUUUCGGCGGGGACGAUGGUGACGGUACCCGCAGAAGAAGCCCCGGCUAACUUCGUGCCAGCAGCCGCGGUAAUACGAAGGGGGCUAGCGUUGCUCGGAAUCAUUGGGCGUAAAGGGCGCGUAGGCGGCGCAGCUAGUCAGGCGUGAAACCCCCGGGCUCAACCCGGGGACUGCGUUUGAUACGGCUGUGCUAGAGGAUGGAAGAGGGCCGCGGAAUUCCCAGUGUAGAGGUGAAAUUCGUAGAUAUUGGGAAGAACACCGGUGGCGAAGGCGGCGGCCUGGUCCAUUACUGACGCUGAGGCGCGACAGCGUGGGGAGCAAACAGGAUUAGAUACCCCAGUAGUCC
RNAcentral lists this ribosomal RNA (744 nucleotides) under uncultured Acetobacteraceae bacterium. RNAcentral's name for it is "bacterial SSU rRNA". It matches the Rfam family "Bacterial small subunit ribosomal RNA", at positions 8 to 796 of the family's 1533-position model. The record is from RNAcentral. Lineage: Bacteria; Pseudomonadati; Pseudomonadota; Alphaproteobacteria; Acetobacterales; Acetobacteraceae.